This 253-nucleotide ribosomal RNA is filed under the name uncultured bacterium. RNAcentral describes it as "partial 16S ribosomal RNA". It matches the Rfam family "Bacterial small subunit ribosomal RNA", at positions 524 to 776 of the family's 1533-position model. The record is from RNAcentral.
UACGGAGGGUGCGAGCGUUAUCCGGAUUCACUGGGUUUAAAGGGUGCGUAGGUGGGAAUGUAAGUCAGUGGUGAAAUCUCUGAGCCUAACUCAGAAACUGCCAUUGAUACUAUGUUUCUUGAAUUUUCUGGAGGUCAGCGGAAUAUGUCAUGUAGCGGUGAAAUGCUUAGAUAUGACAUAGAACACCAAUUGCGAAGGCAGCUGGCUACAGGGAUAUUGACACUGAGGCACGAAAGCGUGGGGAUCAAACAGG